Molecule: ribosomal RNA, 160 nt
Filed under: Oryza sativa Indica Group (long-grained rice)
Lineage: Eukaryota; Viridiplantae; Streptophyta; Magnoliopsida; Poales; Poaceae
Description: rRNA LSU_rRNA_eukarya
Rfam family: Bacterial large subunit ribosomal RNA
Source: RNAcentral
AGAGCAUUGAGAGGACCUUUCCCUAGUACGAGAGGACCGGGAAGGACGCACCUCUGGUGUACCAGUUAUUGUGCCUACGGUAAACGCUGGGUAGCCAAGUGCGGAGAGGAUAACUGCUGAAAGCAUAUAAGUAGUAAGCCCACCCCAAGAUGAGUGCUCU